CUAAGAAUAUUCCGCAAUGGACGAAAGUCUGACGGAGCGACGCCGCGUGGAUGAAGAAGGCCGAAAGGUUGUAAAAUCCUUUUGUUGGGGAAGAAUAACCAUGGGAGGGAAUGCCCGUGGGAUGACAUGAACCGACGAAUAAGUCCCGGCUAACUACGUGCCAGCAGCCGCGGUAACACGUAGGGGACAAGCGUUAUUCGGAAUUACUGGGCGUAAAGGGCAUGUAGGCGGCCUGAUAAGCCUGGCGUGAAAGUCACCGGCUCAACCGGUGGAUUGCGUCGGGAACUGUUGGGCUUGAGUCAUGGAGAGGAAGGCAGAAUUCCUGGUGUAGGGGUGAAAUCUGUAGAGAUCAGGAAGAAUACCAGUGGCGAAGGCGGCCUUCUGGCCAAUGACUGACGCU
This 400-nucleotide ribosomal RNA is filed under the name uncultured bacterium. Its description in RNAcentral is "bacterial SSU rRNA". It matches the Rfam family "Bacterial small subunit ribosomal RNA", at positions 355 to 747 of the family's 1533-position model. The record is from RNAcentral.